UGGGGAAUAUUGCACAAUGGGCGCAAGCCUGAUGCAGCCAUGCCGCGUGUAUGAAGAAGGCCUUCGGGUUGUAAAGUACUUUCAGCGAGGAGGAAGGCGUUAAGGUUAAUAACCUUGGCGAUUGACGUUACUCGCAGAAGAAGCACCGGCUAACUCCGUG
Molecule: ribosomal RNA, 160 nt
Filed under: bacterium 052334
Lineage: Bacteria
Also listed under: 1 other name
Description: partial 16S rRNA
Rfam family: Bacterial small subunit ribosomal RNA
Source: RNAcentral